UGCUUGGGAAUUUGCCUUGAGGUGGGGAGUAACAGUUGGAACGACUGCUAAUACCGCAUAAUAGCUACGGCUCAAAGGGGACGGCUCGCGCUCUCGCCUUUAGAGAAGCCCAAGUGAGAUUAGCUAGUUGGUGGGGUAAAGGCUCACCAAGGCGACGAUCUCUAGCUGGUUUGAGAGGAUGAUCAGCCACACUGGAACUGAGACACGGUCCAGACUCCUACGGGAGGCAGCAGUGGGGAAUAUUGCACAAUGGGGGAAACCCGUGAUGCAGCCAUGCCGCGUGUGUGAAGAAGGCCUCGG
Molecule: ribosomal RNA, 300 nt
Filed under: uncultured Colwelliaceae bacterium
Lineage: Bacteria; Pseudomonadati; Pseudomonadota; Gammaproteobacteria; Alteromonadales; Colwelliaceae
Description: bacterial SSU rRNA
Rfam family: Bacterial small subunit ribosomal RNA
Source: RNAcentral